RNAcentral lists this transfer RNA (64 nucleotides) under Botanophila rubrifrons. Its description in RNAcentral is "tRNA-Thr". It matches the Rfam family "tRNA". Rfam says of the family: Transfer RNA (tRNA) molecules are approximately 80 nucleotides in length. Their secondary structure includes four short double-helical elements and three loops (D, anti-codon, and T loops). Lineage: Eukaryota; Metazoa; Arthropoda; Insecta; Diptera; Anthomyiidae. The record is from RNAcentral.
GUUUUAAUAGUUUAACAAAAACAAUGGUCUUGUAAAUCAUAAAUAAGAAUAUUCUUUUAAAACU